Molecule: non-coding RNA, 129 nt
Filed under: uncultured Gemmiger sp.
Lineage: Bacteria; Bacillati; Bacillota; Clostridia; Eubacteriales; Oscillospiraceae
Description: THF riboswitch
Rfam family: THF (Tetrahydrofolate) riboswitch aptamer
About the family: THF riboswitch presents a pseudoknot that joins P1-P2 and the loop of P3 and two THF binding.
Source: RNAcentral
GCAGAGUAGGGAUCUGCGCGUAAGGACGGCGCGGUUUGGACGCGCCGCCGCAGUGCCUGACCAACGGGGAGUUGUGGCAGGACGAAGUUGCCGCUUGCGGCACGCGGUGCAGAUCCCGCAUCCCACUGC